Armigeres subalbatus is the source of this 311-nucleotide long non-coding RNA. RefSeq lists it as uncharacterized. The transcript has 3 exons. Lineage: Eukaryota; Metazoa; Arthropoda; Insecta; Diptera; Culicidae. The record is from RefSeq and is a predicted model, not a curated record.
AAGUAAACGAAGUGUUCCUUUUAUUUAUUUAAAUACUGAUUCUGCGAGCAAGCGACAGCGGAUCAUUGGCCGCUGUACCGUGAAAUUGAGUUAAUGAUAAAACACUGCAGCUUGCCACCAUCACUGAUGAUUCAAGAUCGUUCGGUGACUAUCAUCGAGCUACAUCACCAACGGGAUACAAUAAAAAAUUAAACAGAAAAACAAAUGCGAGCAGCAUCAGUUACAGCGUCUUCAGUGAGUAUAGCCGGUUGCAUCGUCGGCGACUGAAAUCUACGUUUAUACAUCCCGGUCUGAAUAGCAGUAACACACUG